ACAAGCUACAGAAAGGAAUAGAGAAAACUAAAGUUGAAGGUCACACCACCGGCUCAUCGAACUCUCAUAUCUUUGUGGUUACAAUUUUUUUAAUGUGACGAGUUAUUUUACAGCUUAGAGGUCCUUAUAAACUGAUAACACUACAUAAAACUCCUUGGUAGCAUUUAAACAUUUGAAAAACAAUGUGUCUGGAAUCCCGGACUAUCAAACAAGGCAGGGAUCGCCCGAGUUACCAAUGUCCCGCCACUAGAGGGCGCGUAGUGCUCGCCUGUCAAAAUACCUCUCUGGGUUUUUGUGUUCUUGUUCAUAAAUUUCAAACAAAUGACUUGGAAUCGCAGAAUAAACAAAGCCCCUUAGUUCAUUCGGCGAAGUUAAUCGCUGAGAAACUGCAGCCUUGAGAAACAACUUGAGUGGGCAUUCUCCUUAAUCUGCCUCGUGCCGGUCUCUGUGACCUUUAACCCCCUUAUUACUCAGACCUUGGGGCAGCAUUGUCUUGCAAUCCUGACCCCACCUCCCUUUUCGUCACUUCUACAAGAGGCUUUUCUGAGUUCUCUCAUUUUUUCCACAAGCUUGCAGCAUAAAGUAGGGCCCAGUCCUUGUAUGGACUAACAUGCUGAACGGGCUUAGUACUUCACAGUAUGAUCUGAUGGAUUCUAGAUCUGAAAUGUGGUUGCAUAAAGAUUUACUGGGAAGUUUCGUAGCUUGAAAGUAGCAACUCGAGCUGGAAUCUCUGUGCACUCACCAUGAAGGGGCUGCCUGCGCCAAGCCUGUCUCUUAAAUUAUCUUCCGUUUGCAUUGAUCCUACAAGUGGCUGGUCUUAGAAGAAUCUGUGCAAAGCAAAUGAAGGAAAAGGAACCGAGGUCAGCCACUCCAGACCAUCGCACUCCUGGAAUGCAGAAGGUCCUUUGCAUAAGCAAACGUUUUACCAUGUUAGGAACAGUAAAAAGAUUUUCAUAAAGGUUUUACAAGAAUGACUAUAGGUUAAAGAGUCUACAGCAGAGUGAAAGAGGCUUUGGAGAUGGACUGAGUCGAUAUCAUAAUAAACUACACCAGUGCUGGAAACCUGGUAUUGAUGGAGCUGCUGGAGUUGGAGUUGGAGAGAGAAGCAGCAGAGUUCAUCUGAGAGAUGAAAAGCAAAACAAUAUUCCAAGAGCAGGAAAAUGGUUCCAGAUCAGGAAAUGAAAGUCAAGUCAAGAUGAGUGAAAAACUGGACAGGUAGACAACCUAUUUGGUCAUGUCUAGAAGGGCACAGAGCCAAACCCAGGAAUGGUCAGAAUCCAUUGUUUAUUGGUUCUUGAUACACAUGCACCAGAUCUUAGAGGAGAGAUCUUACACAGUGUUAAGCACCCCUGUAUUCCUGGUGAAAAAAAAGUGGUACCUGUUCCUUCAUCUGGUAUGUCCAAUAAAACCUUGGGCCUGGCUUCCCUGAAAUAAUUUUAAAACACUCAUGUUUUCCUACAGUCCUUAUCUUAAUAAAUGUAUAUGGUGACUC
Rattus norvegicus (Norway rat) is the source of this 1492-nucleotide non-coding RNA. The record is from RefSeq and is a predicted model, not a curated record. Lineage: Eukaryota; Metazoa; Chordata; Mammalia; Rodentia; Muridae.